GACAGAGGUGCCGAGCGUUAGGCGGAAUCACUGGGCUUAAAGCGUGUGUAGGCGGGCCGUUAAGUAUCUUGUGAAAUCCCCCGGCUCAACCGGGGAAUGGCUGGAUAUACUGGCGGUCUUGAGCAGUUCAGGGGCAGAUGGAAAAGACGGUGGAGCGGUGAAAUGCGUAGAUAUCGUCUGGAACGCCAAAGGUGAAGACAGUCUGCUGGGAACUUGCUGACGCUGAGACACGAAAGCCAGGGGAGCGAACGGG
This 253-nucleotide ribosomal RNA is filed under the name uncultured bacterium. Its description in RNAcentral is "partial 16S ribosomal RNA". It matches the Rfam family "Bacterial small subunit ribosomal RNA", at positions 524 to 776 of the family's 1533-position model. The record is from RNAcentral.